AUACGGAGGAUCCGAGCGUUAUCCGGAUUUAUUGGGUUUAAAGGGUGCGCAGGCGGGAGAUUAAGUCGGCGGUGAAAUUUUGGAGCUCAACUGUAAAAGGGACUUCGAUCCUGGGUUGCUUGAGUGGGGGAGAAUUAGGCAGAAUUUGUGGGGUAGCGGUGGAAUGCUUAGAUAUCACGAGGAACUCCGAUUGCGCAGGCAGCUUACUAAACCACUACUGACGCUCAGGCACGAAGGCGUGGGGAUCAAACAGGAUUAGAUACCCUGGUAGUCCACGCAGUAAACGAUGAUUACUGGCUGUUUGCGAUACAAUGUAAGCGGCUGAGCGAAAGCGUUAAGUAAUCCACCUGGGGAGUACGUUCGCAAGAAUGAAACUCAAAGGAAUUGACGGGG
Molecule: ribosomal RNA, 393 nt
Filed under: uncultured bacterium
Lineage: Bacteria
Description: partial 16S ribosomal RNA
Rfam family: Bacterial small subunit ribosomal RNA
Source: RNAcentral